GGACUACAAGGGUUUCUAAUCCUGUUUGCUCCCCACGCUUUCGCGUCUCAGCGUCAGUACCGUCCCAGCGAGCUGCCUUCGCCAUUGGUGUUCCUCCUGAUAUCUGCGCAUUUCACCGCUACACCAGGAAUUCCACUCGCCUCUUCCGGACUCUAGCUCGACAGUUUCCACCGGCUUUCCAAGGUUGAGCCUUGGACUUUCACAGCAGACUUACCGAGCCGCCUACACGCGCUUUACGCCCAAUGAUUCCGGACAACGCUAGCCCCCUACGUAUUACCGCGGCGGCUGGCAC
This 292-nucleotide ribosomal RNA is filed under the name uncultured bacterium. Its description in RNAcentral is "partial 16S ribosomal RNA". The record is from RNAcentral.